This 440-nucleotide ribosomal RNA is filed under the name uncultured bacterium. Its description in RNAcentral is "partial 16S ribosomal RNA". It matches the Rfam family "Bacterial small subunit ribosomal RNA", at positions 338 to 795 of the family's 1533-position model. The record is from RNAcentral.
CCUACGGGAGGCAGCAGUGAGGAAUAUUGCACAAUGGGGGAAACCCUGAUGCAGCGACGCCGCGUGAGUGACGAAGUAUUUCGGUAUUUAAAACUCUCUCAGCAGGGAAGAAAAUGACGGUACCUGAUUCAGAAACCCCGGCUAACUACGUGCCAGCAGCCGCGGUAAUAAGUAAGGGGCAAGCGUUAUCCGGAUUUACUGGGUGUAAAGGGAGCGUAGACGGCAUCACAAGGCUGGAGGGAAAUGCCCGGGUUGAACCCCGGAAGUGCAUUGGAAACCGGUCAGCUAGAGUGCAGGAGAGGUAAGUGGAAUUACUAGUGUAGCGGUGAAAUGCGUAGAUAUUAGGAGGAACACCAGUGGCGAAGGCGGCUUACUGGACUGUAACUGACGUUGAGGCUCGAAAGCGUGGGGAGCAAACAGGAUUAGAUACCCGAGUAGUC